AUUGAACGCUGGCGGCAGGCCUAACACAUGCAAGUCGAGCGGAUGAAGGGAGCUUGCUCCUGGAUUCAGCGGCGGACGGGUGAGUAAUGCCUAGGAAUCUGCCUGGUAGUGGGGGAUAACGUCCGGAAACGGGCGCUAAUACCGCCUACGUCCUGAGGGAGAAAGUGGGGGAUCUUCGGACCUCAUGCUCUCAGAUGAGCCUAGGUCGGAUUAGUUAGUUGGUGGGGUAAAGGCCUACCAAGGCGACGAUCCGUAACUGGUCUGAGAGGAUGAUAAGUCACACUGGAACUGAAACGCGGUCCAGGCUCCUACGGGAGGCAGCAGUGGGGAAUAUUGGACAAUGGGCGGAAGCCUGAUCCAGCCAUGCCGCGUGUGUGAAGAAGGUCUUCGGAUUGUAAAGCACUUUAAGUUGGGAGGAAGGGCAGUAAGUUAAUACCUUGCUGUUUUGACGGUACCAACAGAAUAAGCACCGGCUAACUUCGUG
This 484-nucleotide ribosomal RNA is filed under the name uncultured bacterium. RNAcentral's name for it is "partial 16S ribosomal RNA". It matches the Rfam family "Bacterial small subunit ribosomal RNA", at positions 30 to 507 of the family's 1533-position model. The record is from RNAcentral.